AUGCGAUGCAUAUACACACCACGCACGCCACUACUCUUUCCUUCCCCUCUUUACCCUCCCCUGCUCCACCGCAGUAGCGGCCUGACGCUUCGCGUCCUUCGAAUCGUCAUUGCCGCCGGUGCCCGGCGCCGCGUAGAGAGGCAGCGCGAUCGACUCGGGUGCCUUCAGGUGCAGCGCCCGCACGUUCCUCCACUUCCUGGGCACGCACGCGGCGGCCGCCUCCACCGCGGCCACCACGUUCUCCACCGCCUCUUCCGGCGCCAUCGCCGCGUGCCCCACCCGCACGGCGCGGCACGUGCCGGCCUCCACGCGCAGCUCGACGCGGCGCGCCGCCUCCCUCGCGGACUCGGCCCACGCAGGGUCGGCGAGGUCGACGGGCACGACCCUGCCGCGGCCCUUGGCGCCCUUGCCGCUGCUGGGGAUCUUGAGCCGGCUGUCGACGAGGACCAGGCCGCGGCGCGCGACGGCGGGGAGGGAGCGGAGCGCGGAGGAGGGCAGCGUCUCGAUGUCGUCGGGGAGGUCGUCCGGGAGGCGGUCGGCGACGAGGAAGAUGGAGGGGAAUGGGGAGAGUGGGAGGCUGAGAUAGUGCUCGAACCGGCGGACGGGGGCAGUCUUCAAGGUGACGAGGAGGUAGACGGGCUCCGGCGCCGGGGAGGGGUGGUGCUUGAGCCACCGGAGGAGCGCGCCCACCGCGCGGACCACGGCCUCGCGGCCGAGGCGGGGAUUGGGCGCGGGGGCGGAAGCCAUCAUCGUUGGCGGCGGCGGCGGGAGCUUGGGAAUUUGGGAUGUGAUGAGAGUUGA
Molecule: ribosomal RNA, 801 nt
Filed under: Triticum aestivum (bread wheat)
Lineage: Eukaryota; Viridiplantae; Streptophyta; Magnoliopsida; Poales; Poaceae
Description: partial small subunit ribosomal RNA
Source: RNAcentral